UAAAAGAUGGCUGAGGACUUAAGCAUUAGGUUGAAGGCCUAACUACGGUGAAAAUUUCAUCUCUUUUAACC
RNAcentral lists this transfer RNA (71 nucleotides) under Nacella magellanica. Its description in RNAcentral is "tRNA-Phe". The record is from RNAcentral. Lineage: Eukaryota; Metazoa; Mollusca; Gastropoda; Nacellidae. RNAcentral also lists the same sequence under 2 other names.